CUUAUUGGGCUCCUGUCUGCAGGAUUUACGCGCACGUUGGAACCGAAGAGAGCUCUGUUGUUGCAAUGUUCAGCCCACAAGACCUUACUGGUGAAGGAAUGGGACAAGACCCAUCUUUAUGCAAAGCCAGCGUUACAGUAAUGUCCCAGCAUCUCAUAAUCUAUCCUGGGGAAUUCAGCUGCCUCCCAGGGUGAAUACAGGUAUUCCUGAUGACAGUCUGCCUUCUAUCUUACAGAGCAGCUUGUUGCUAUAUACCAUUGAAAAGCCUUCAGAGCUGAGAGGUACUACUAACCAAUAACCUGCUUGGCUCAAAGGGCCAGCACCUUCUCUCUAAAGCCCAAGAGGAGUUUGAGGUAAAUGGCUUUGCAAUAGUUACCAUCAAUGGCUGCUAUAUAAAAUUUUCUGUGAUUUUUGUGUGUGAUAGCACUGUGGUCUGGGUGAAUGUACACAGACAUAACUGGCUUAAUCCAAAGUCUUUGAUCUCCUGAACCACCAGUGAUGAAUUGCUGCUCACCAGUGAUGAGUUGAAUACCGCCCCAGUCUGAUCAAUG
Molecule: small RNA, 551 nt
Filed under: Pan troglodytes (chimpanzee)
Lineage: Eukaryota; Metazoa; Chordata; Mammalia; Primates; Hominidae
Source: RNAcentral